GCCGGUGUGGCGGAACUGGCAGACGCGACGGAUUCAAAAUCCGUUUUCCCUUGAAAGGAAGUGCAGGUUCGAUUCCUGUCACCGGCA
RNAcentral lists this transfer RNA (87 nucleotides) under Phycisphaerae bacterium. RNAcentral's name for it is "tRNA-Leu". It matches the Rfam family "tRNA". From Rfam's summary of the family: Transfer RNA (tRNA) molecules are approximately 80 nucleotides in length. The record is from RNAcentral. Lineage: Bacteria; Pseudomonadati; Planctomycetota; Phycisphaerae.